UCGGUUUUGAAUUAGAGAUGUUAAAAAUGAUCAACCAACGUCGACUAUAACCCCUAGCCUUCCAAGCUAACG
RNAcentral lists this transfer RNA (72 nucleotides) under Dendrobium nobile. RNAcentral's name for it is "tRNA-Arg". Lineage: Eukaryota; Viridiplantae; Streptophyta; Magnoliopsida; Asparagales; Orchidaceae. The record is from RNAcentral.